GGGUUGUGAGGUUAAGCGACUAAGCGUACACGGUGGAUGCCCUGGCAGUCAGAGGCGAUGAAGGGCGUGCUAAUCUGCGAUAAGCGCCGGUAAGGUGAUAUGAACCGUUAUAACCGGCGAUACCCGAAUGGGGAAACCCAGUGUGAUUCGUCACACUAUCAUUAACUGAAUCCAUAGGUUAAUGAGGCGAACCGGGGGGAACUGAAACAUCUAAGUACCCCGAGGAAAAGAAAUCAACCGAGAUUCCCCCAGUAGCGGCGAGCGAACGGGGAGGAGCCCAGAGCCUGAAUCAGCAUGUGUGUUAGUGGAAGCGUCUGGAAAGGCGCGCGAUACAGGGUGACAGCCCCGUACACAAAAGCGCAUGUGCUGUGAGCUCGAUGAGUAGGGCGGGACACGUGGUAUCCUGUCUGAAUAUGGGGGGACCAUCCUCCAAGGCUAAAUACUCCUGACUGACCGAUAGUGAACCAGUACCGUGAGGGAAAGGCGAAAAGAACCCCGGCGAGGGGAGUGAAAAAGAACCUGAAACCGUGUACGUACAAGCAGUGGGAGCACAGGUUUACCUGUGUGACUGCGUACCUUUUGUAUAAUGGGUCAGCGACUUAUAUUCUGUAGCAAGGUUAACCGUAUAGGGGAGCCGCAGGGAAACCGAGUCUUAAUUGGGCGUUAAGUUGCAGGGUAUAGACCCGAAACCCGGUGAUUAGCCAUGGGCAGGUUGAAGGUUGGGUAACACUAACUGGAGGACCGAACCGACUAAUGUUGAAAAAUUAGCGGAUGACCUGUGGCUGGGGGUGAAAGGCCAAUCAAACCGGGAGAUAGCUGGUUCUCCCCGAAAGCUAUUUAGGUAGCGCCUCGUGAAUUCAUCUCCGGGGGUAGAGCACUGUUUCGGCUAGGGGGCCAUCCCGGCUUACCAACCCGAUGCAAACUGCGAAUACCGGAGAAUGUUAUCACGGGAGACACACGGCGGGUGCUAACGUCCGUCGUGAAGAGGGAAACAACCCAGACCGCCAGCUAAGGUCCCAAAGUCAUGGUUAAGUGGGAAACGAUGUGGGAAGGCCCAGACAGCCGGAUGUUGGCUUAGAAGCAGCCAUCAUUUAAAGAAAGCGUAAUAGCUCACUGGUCGAGUCGGCCUGCGCGGAAGAUGUAACGGGGCUAAACCAUGCACCGAAGCUGCGGCAGCGACACUGUGUGUUGUUGGGUAGGGGAGCGUUCUGUAAGCCUGCGAAGGUGGCCUGUGAGGGUUGCUGGAGGUAUCAGAAGUGCGAAUGCUGACAUAAGUAACGAUAAAGCGGGUGAAAAGCCCGCUCGCCGGAAGACCAAGGGUUCCUGUCCAACGUUAAUCGGGGCAGGGUGAGUCGACCCCUAAGGCGAGGCCGAAAGGCGUAGUCGAUGGGAAACGGGUUAAUAUUCCCGUACUUGGUGUUACUGCGAAGGGGGACGGAGAAGGCUAUGUUGGCCGGGCGACGGUUGUCCCGGUUUAAGCGUGUAGGUGUGUGUUCCGUAAAUCCGGUUCACUUUAACACUGAGGCGUGACGACGAGGCACUACGGUGCUGAAGCAACAAAUGCCCUGCUUCCGUGAAAAGCCUCUAAGCAUCAGGUAACAUCAAAUCGUACCCCAAACCGACACAGGUGGUCAGGUAGAGAAUACCAAGGCGCUUGAGAGAACUCGGGUGAAGGAACUAGGCAAAAUGGUGCCGUAACUUCGGGAGAAGGCACGCUGACACGUAGGUGAAGUGAUUUACUCACGGAGCUGAAGUCAGUCGAAGAUACCAGCUGGCUGCAACUGUUUAUUAAAAACACAGCACUGUGCAAACACGAAAGUGGACGUAUACGGUGUGACGCCUGCCCGGUGCCGGAAGGUUAAUUGAUGGGGUCAGCGCAAGCGAAGCUCCUGAUCGAAGCCCCGGUAAACGGCGGCCGUAACUAUAACGGUCCUAAGGUAGCGAAAUUCCUUGUCGGGUAAGUUCCGACCUGCACGAAUGGCGUAAUGAUGGCCAGGCUGUCUCCACCCGAGACUCAGUGAAAUUGAACUCGCUGUGAAGAUGCAGUGUACCCGCGGCAAGACGGAAAGACCCCGUGAACCUUUACUAUAGCUUGACACUGAACAUUGAGCCUUGAUGUGUAGGAUAGGUGGGAGGCUUUGAAGUGUGGACGCCAGUCUGCAUGGAGCCGACCUUGAAAUACCACCCUUUAAUGUUUGAUGUUCUAACGUGGACCCGUAAUCCGGGUUGCGGACAGUGUCUGGUGGGUAGUUUGACUGGGGCGGUCUCCUCCUAAAGAGUAACGGAGGAGCACGAAGGUUGGCUAAUCCCGGUCGGACAUCAGGAGGUUAGUGCAAUGGCAUAAGCCAGCUUGACUGCGAGCGUGACGGCGCGAGCAGGUGCGAAAGCAGGUCAUAGUGAUCCGGUGGUUCUGAAUGGAAGGGCCAUCGCUCAACGGAUAAAAGGUACUCCGGGGAUAACAGGCUGAUACCGCCCAAGAGUUCAUAUCGACGGCGGUGUUUGGCACCUCGAUGUCGGCUCAUCACAUCCUCGGGCUGAAGUAGGUCCCAAGGGUAUGGCUGUUCGCCAUUUAAAGUGGUACGCGAGCUGGGUUUAGAACGUCGUGAGACAGUUCGGUCCCUAUCGCCGUGGGCGCUGGAGAACUGAGGGGGGCUGCUCCUAGUACGAGAGGACCGGAGUGGACGCAUCACUGGUGUUCGGGUUGUCAUGCCAAUGGCACUGCCCGGUAGCUAAAUGCGGAAGAGAUAAGUGCUGAAAGCAUCUAAGCACGAAACUUGCCCCGAGAUGAGUUCUCCCUGAGACUUAGAGUCUCCUGAAGGAACGUUGAAGACGACGACGUUGAUAGGCCGGGUGUGUAAGCGCAGCGAUGCGUUGAGCUAACCGGUACUAAUGAACCGUGAGGCUUAACCUUACAACGCCGAAG
Molecule: ribosomal RNA, 2923 nt
Filed under: Salmonella enterica subsp. enterica serovar Adjame
Lineage: Bacteria; Pseudomonadati; Pseudomonadota; Gammaproteobacteria; Enterobacterales; Enterobacteriaceae
Description: 23S ribosomal RNA
Rfam family: Bacterial large subunit ribosomal RNA
Source: RNAcentral